GAUGAACGCUGGCGGCGUGCCUAAUACAUGCAAGUCGAGCGAACAGAUAAGGAGCUUGCUCCUUUGACGUUAGCGGCGGACGGGCGAGUAACACGUGGGUAACCUACCUAUAAGACUGGGAUAACUUCGGGAAACCGGAGCUAAUACCGGAUAACAUUUGGAACCGCAUGGUUCUAAAGUGAAAGAUGGUUUUGCUAUCACUUAUAGAUGGACCCGCGCCGUAUUAGCUAGUUGGUAAGGUAACGGCUUACCAAGGCAACGAUACGUAGCCGACCUGAGAGGGUGAUCGGCCACACUGGAACUGAGACACGGUCCAGACUCCUACGGGAGGCAGCAGUAGGGAAUCUUCCGCAAUGGGCGAAAGCCUGACGGAGCAACGCCGCGUGAGUGAUGAAGGGUUUCGGCUCGUAAAACUCUGUUAUUAGGGAAGAACAAAUGUGUAAGUAACUGUGCACGUCUUGACGGUACCUAAUCAGAAAGCCACGGCUAACUACGUG
RNAcentral lists this ribosomal RNA (497 nucleotides) under uncultured bacterium. RNAcentral's name for it is "partial 16S ribosomal RNA". It matches the Rfam family "Bacterial small subunit ribosomal RNA", at positions 28 to 507 of the family's 1533-position model. The record is from RNAcentral.